This 222-nucleotide ribosomal RNA is filed under the name Triticum aestivum (bread wheat). RNAcentral describes it as "partial small subunit ribosomal RNA". Lineage: Eukaryota; Viridiplantae; Streptophyta; Magnoliopsida; Poales; Poaceae. The record is from RNAcentral.
CUUUGGUACUUACAACUCGGAGUAGUUCUAACCAGGGAUAACUUGGUUAAACUGAACUGGCAAGGCAGUAAAAAUUGGUGCUUUUGUUACAAAGAUGAGACUAUUCGACACCUUUUCUUUGAAUGUUUCUUUGCACGGGCCAUUUGGUUUAUUAUACAAGCGGCUUUAGGGUUGUCUCCCGGAAUGAUGGUCCCUAAUUUUUUGGCUCCCACGGCCAACUAA